Molecule: long non-coding RNA, 158 nt
Organism: Telopea speciosissima
Lineage: Eukaryota; Viridiplantae; Streptophyta; Magnoliopsida; Proteales; Proteaceae
Exons: 3
Source: RefSeq, a predicted model, not a curated record
GCGGCCUUUGAUCCUGAAAGCAAGAAGAUACGGAUCAGCUACAAGAUGCACGCUGAAUAUGGAGCAGUCAGAAACUUGCCAACCCAGCCGACUAGUCAAGUUAGUUCAACUCGACAAGAUCAAGCUUCUGGAACUUCUGAAAUACUGGCCCUUCCAGG